Paramuricea clavata is the source of this 1044-nucleotide non-coding RNA. The record is from the annotation of a GenBank genome assembly. Lineage: Eukaryota; Metazoa; Cnidaria; Anthozoa; Malacalcyonacea; Plexauridae.
AAAACAGACUGUACAGUAUUUCAAAAACCACUAAGAUUCACUGCCUGUGAAUGUGUCUGUUGUUGCACUCGGCGAACAACUAUUUAAAAUCUGUGAACUGCUAGACAAACCGGUAAAUCUUCCUAAAAAGACAGUGUGUGUACCUUCCAUAAAAAUGUGAAGCAGUUUUACACAUGUACAUAUGCAGUGGUUUUAAACUGCACGCAAGCCGGUUAUACAGUUAUUGUGGCAGAAUGGUAGCUUGUAAAUGGAGUAUCUCAAUAGGAUUUGCACAUUUAGUAUUUACAUAUGCAUUAGGUCUCUUAGGUUUUAGCUUAAGACCAACAUGAGCGAGUGAGAUAAACUCGACUAGCUUAGGUAAGGCAUCAAGCGUGAAAUCCAUGCAUUAGACCCCUCAGCAUCGGACCCCAAACCUUUUUUCAAUGCUAAAUAUGAAAUUAUCCCACCUUACCACAUUGCUGAAGAAUAAUGGUGGAUAUCCUGGGCAAAUGUGCAUUACUAAUUACCAUGUUGGAUAUCUUGGGCAAAUGUGCAAUACCAUGAGGGAUAUCUUGGGCAAAUGUGCAAUACAACAAGGGAUAUCUUAAAGGCAAAUGUGCAAUAUCACUGCUGGAUAAAUUGGUUCAUUACUUAUAAGUUACAUUACUGAGGAAAGAAGACGUCGUAUAUAAGGUUAGUGGAUAUUUACAAUAAUAAAGUGGGAAGGGUUCCCUGCGGCUCAAAGUAACGUUGUGUUUGCACGAUAACAAUACGACGGUGCAGUCAACAAUAUGGCAGAUCCGGAAUAAUUUGUAACAAUAUGGCGGAGUAACAGUGAUGUGCGCUUAAAACCUGCGUUCUUCUAAAAAUUGUGAGUUGAACAUCCAACAAAACAAUGCUUCUGUAACUACAUGUAAAAAUUAAGGUUUUAGACAUGAGUUUAGGAAUUUUUUAUUUUUUUAUUUAUGAUUUUCUAUAAAUGGGGGCCCCUAUUUGAGAUAUAUAAUAAUGUCAUAGAUUGUAAUAAAUAUUUUUGUAAAGUGUGCGGAUAAGAUAGUGUUUCAG